This 178-nucleotide small nuclear RNA is filed under the name Macaca fascicularis (crab-eating macaque). RNAcentral's name for it is "U2 spliceosomal RNA (ENSMFAG00000056530.1)". It matches the Rfam family "U2 spliceosomal RNA". Rfam says of the family: U2 is a small nuclear RNA (snRNA) component of the spliceosome (involved in pre-mRNA splicing). Complementary binding between U2 snRNA (in an area lying towards the 5' end but 3' to hairpin I) and the branchpoint sequence (BPS) of the intron results the bulging out of an unpaired adenosine, on the BPS, which initiates a nucleophilic attack at the intronic 5' splice site, thus starting the first of two transesterification reactions that mediate splicing. The record is from Rfam by way of RNAcentral. Lineage: Eukaryota; Metazoa; Chordata; Mammalia; Primates; Cercopithecidae.
GCAUCUUCUGGCCUUUGGCUAAGAUCUGGCGUAUCUGUUCCAUCAGUUUAAUAUCUGAUACGUCCCCAUCCGAGGACAAUAUAUUAAAUGGAUUUUGGAGCAGGAGAUGGAAUAGAGCUUGUCCGUCCACCCACGCAUCGACCUGGUGUGCAGUACCUCCAGGAACGGUGCACUCUCC